CGCAGAAGUGAGCCGGGGCAACCCGGUGUAAUGCGGCUUCCCAUUGUGGGAACCAGUCACAAGCCUGG
Molecule: non-coding RNA, 68 nt
Submitted as: unclassified sequences
Source: Rfam